UACGGGAGGCAGCAGUGGGGAAUAUUGCACAAUGGGCGAAAGCCUGAUGCAGCUAUGCCGCGUGUAUGAAGAAGGCCUUAGGGUUGUAAAGUACUUUCAUCGGGGAGGAAAAAACAAAACUAAUAAUUUUAUUUCUUGACGUUACCCGAAAAAGAAGCACCGGCUAACUCCGUGCCAGCAGCCGCGGUAAUACGGAGGGUGCUAGCGUUAAUCAGAAUUACUGGGCGUAAAGAGCACGUAGGUGGUUUUUUUUAAGUCAGAUGUGAAAUCCCUGGGCUUAACCUAGGAACUGCAUUUUGAAACUGAAAUACUAGAGUAUCGUAGAGGGAGGUAGAAUUCUAGGUGUAGCGGUGAAAUGCGUAGAUAUCUGGAGGAAUAUCUGUGGCGAAAGCGGCCUCCUAAACGAAUACUGACACUGAGGUGCGAAAGCGUGGGGAGCAAACAGGGAUUAGAUACC
This 457-nucleotide ribosomal RNA is filed under the name uncultured bacterium. Its description in RNAcentral is "bacterial SSU rRNA". It matches the Rfam family "Bacterial small subunit ribosomal RNA", at positions 340 to 786 of the family's 1533-position model. The record is from RNAcentral.